UUUUAAUAAAAGCAAGCAUUUCUGGGGCUAGCCCUCCUGGACCAGAGCUCCAUGGUGGGUUGGGGGCUCCGGCCAGGGCUGGCAAGGGUGUAUGUGUGUGUGUGAUGGGAAUUCUUGGGGCCCCUCUUGGGAAUGGAUUUGUCCACCUUCUCCCCCUGCCUCUCCAUCCUGAGGUUGCCAUGGAAGUCUGCAGAGAACUUCUCAUUAAACAAGAAAAAAAGCAGCAGCAGCAACAGGAGGAAAGCAUUUCCCGGAAUCCGGGAGGAAGCGUGAGUCACCAGGCCUGCUAAGUGAGCCCAGCGUGGCCACUGCAGCGCCUGCCCAGGAGGCCUGGGGAGCAGGGCCAGCCGUCAGGACUGCGCCAGGCCUGCCCGCAUAGACAUGCCCACUGCCCAAGCUGACGCAGGCUCCAGGAAUGCAAACAAAGCUGGGUGGAGGGGCCUUCUGAGGGCCAGGGCGCAGGGCCAGGCAGGAGGGAACCGGCCUGGAGGAGAGGCCUGCGGAGGGGCCUCAGGCCCCUGACGAGCCCCUCUCUGGUGUCCUUGGAGCCCAGGCUGCUGGAAAGGUACCCCCUCCUGGUGUGAGUGCCCUGGCACUGCCAGCUCAGGCCUGGCCUCCAAACCCCUCCUUUUGGGGUAGGGACAGGAGUUCCCCUAGGUCAGAGGGUUUCCAAAUUGGUCCCUGGAUCAGUGGCACUGCAUCACCUGGGGACUGGUCAGAAAUGCAGAGUCUCAGGCCCCCACCCCAGCCCUGGUAGAUCAGAAGCGCUGGGGGUAGAGGCCAGAGAGCCGAGAUUUAACAAGCCCUCCCAGGCGACUCCGAUGUGCGCUCAGGUUUGAGGACCGCUGCACUUCAUUUUCUCCAAGUCAGCUUCAAACCCACAUCUGCUGGUUAUUUAUUGACCAAAUUAAGAGGUAAUGCUUAAGGAGCGCCUUCUGUGUGCCAGACCCCAGGCUAACCGCUUGAUGCAUGCUUGCUCAUUCACUCCCCACGUCAACCCCGUGACAUCAUCUUCUGUGAUCAUUUCUCCAUCUUACAGGUGCCAUAAGCACUGCUUUUUAGCCAGAAGCCAGUGUUCUGGGACCUUGUAAGUGAUGGGAGAUCCUGGGCUCAACUCAGAUUUGGCCCAUAUUGAUUAACUGGUUUACAGAGUCGUAUCCAACUCUUUGUGACCCCAUGGAUGUAGCCCCCCAGGCUCCUCUGUCCAUGGGAUUUUCCAGGCCCGCCCUCCAAGGUAUGUGAAAAGAAGUUCUUCAGAGAGGAGGAAAGUAGGUAAGAAACUCAGAUCUGCAUAAGCAAAGGAAGAAUAUCAGAGAAGGAAUAAUGAAGGUCACCAUAGUGCAUUGAGUUUGAACAUUCUCUGGCAUUGCCUUUCUUUGGGGUUGGAAUG
Bubalus bubalis (water buffalo) is the source of this 1390-nucleotide long non-coding RNA. RefSeq lists it as uncharacterized. The transcript is spliced from 3 exons. The record is from RefSeq and is a predicted model, not a curated record. NCBI's taxonomy places the organism in Eukaryota, Metazoa, Chordata, Mammalia, Artiodactyla, Bovidae.